GAUGAACGCUGGCGGCGUGCCUAAUACAUGCAAGUCGAGCGAAUGGAGUAAGAGCUUGCUCUUAUGAAGUUAGCGGCGGACGGGUGAGUAACACGUGGGUAACCUGCCCAUAAGACUGGGAUAACUCCGGGAAACCGGGGCUAAUACCGGAUAAUAUUUUGAACUGCAUGGUUCAAAAUUGAAAGGCGGCUUCGGCUGUCACUUAUGGAUGGACCCGCGUCGCAUUAGCUAGUUGGUGAGGUAACGGCUCACCAAGGCAACGAUGCGUAGCCGACGUGGGGGGGUGAUCGGCCACACUGGGACUGAGACACGGCCCAGACUCCUACGGGAGGCAGCAGUAGGGAAUCGUCCGCAAUGGACGAAAGUCUGACGGAGCAACGCCGCGUGAGUGAUGAAGGCUUUCGGGUCGUAAAACUCUGUUGUUAGGGAAGAACAAGUGCUAGUUGAAUAAGCUGGCACCUUGACGGUACCUAACCAGAAAGCCACGGCUAACUACGUGCCAGCCGCCGCCGUAA
Molecule: ribosomal RNA, 515 nt
Filed under: uncultured bacterium
Lineage: Bacteria
Description: partial 16S ribosomal RNA
Rfam family: Bacterial small subunit ribosomal RNA
Source: RNAcentral